UUCUCUUUUCCCUUUCUUCUUCUUCCCUCACGCGACCCCCUCCCUCUUGUUUUUGCUUCGUUUCACGCCGCCAACACGCACGCAGCUGCUGCCACCAUCCGACGAGUUGAGGCGCCAUCGAGUUGUCCAUAUCUGAAGCCGUUCAUUGCGUUUCUUCCCCCGGACGCCGCCCAGCCCUCGUCUGCCAGCCGCGACCAUCUGCUCUAGAACAGCUGCACGUCAGAUCUGAAGGCCCCAGCCGCGAGUGUUCGUCGCCCAUGCUGUUCGCGAGUCUCUAGCCACUCGAUCUGUCAGCGUCGCCUCGGCUUGCGCCGCUUUACCUGUUCCGUGUGCUCUGUCCGGCAUCGAGUCCUAGCCGUAAGUCUUCAACCGCCCUACGCCGCGCGUUGGGUCGUCUGCUAGUCGCCACUGCCAAACUAGCGCCAACCUUCAGCCCGAUGCCCAGUGGCCCAGCCCCCUUCAUCGCACUAGCGCUGUUCGAGCCAGCCUUCCGUCACUGGCGCCAUCAUUUGGGUUUCGUUGGACUUUGAAUAAUUUAGAAUCAAGGAUUGAAGAUUUUGAGACAUUGCUUUGAAGUUUAAGACCAAUUUCAGUGGAAAAUUUGUUAAGGCGUCGCUUCAAGGCUCUGUUUGGCAAGGAGGGCAUAAGCUUGCUUGAACAAAUUUGGAUUUACUUUAAGCUAAGUAAUCUUACUACUGGAAUUGCCCUAGUGUCAUGCAAUGAUAAUUAUGAUGUAUUGAGGAUUAUUAGUUAGCAUGAUAUUUAUGUAUGCCUUCAUUGACUGAGGUUCGAAAGGACUGGAGUCAGGUAUUGAUAAAUAUGAUUUACUGAGUAUAUAUUGAUGGUUU
Benincasa hispida (wax gourd) is the source of this 848-nucleotide long non-coding RNA. RefSeq lists it as uncharacterized. The record is from RefSeq and is a predicted model, not a curated record. Lineage: Eukaryota; Viridiplantae; Streptophyta; Magnoliopsida; Cucurbitales; Cucurbitaceae.